This 3624-nucleotide long non-coding RNA is filed under the name Cucumis sativus (cucumber). RNAcentral describes it as "long non-coding RNA (CSAT_LNC002445)". Lineage: Eukaryota; Viridiplantae; Streptophyta; Magnoliopsida; Cucurbitales; Cucurbitaceae. The record is from RNAcentral.
AAUAAUAAGUAUGGCAUUACAAAGAUGAACGAGAAAUAAGUCAUUGAAAGGUAGUUUAUAAUCUUUUUUGUCAUAUUUACAAAACUAUAAAACAAUGUACUAUAAUUGCUAUAUCAUAUUUUCAAAAUGCUAUAACGUCCAAUUUUUAUUUAUUUAUUUAUUCGGACUUUAACAAAUAAAUAUAUACAUAAAAAAGGAAAUGCAUGAAUAUAUAUCUUGUAGUGACUUGAGGUUUAGAUGAAGAUAUACAUGUCGAUAGAUAGGGGUAUUGAAUAGAAAGAGAAGAAGGUGGUUGAGGCAUAUGAAAAAGACCCGAGAGAGAGGUAACAUCCUCACUCCAAUCAUAAUCCCAUGCUGGGUGUGGUUGAGAUUUUCACCUUCAAAAUUUAAAACUAAGGAGACACGCUCGAUCCUUUCAUGAUUCUCAUGUCCAAAUGGGUAUUUGAUUAUCUAAUAAAAUGAAAUUGAGAUUCGAUUAGACAACUCAAACAAACACCCCUCCUUUAGAUACGUACAAGUCAAUUAAUACAUACAAAAAGAGAAAAGAGAGAAAAGAGGAGAGUUGGGUAUUAAAUUGGAAGAGGGAAGGGAUAUUGAAUGGGAGGUUUUAAGUGAAGAAGAGGGAGCACGUGUUAGUGUUUAACAGAGACUGCCAUUUUAACUGUUACCGCUGCUAUACCGUUAAAUUCUACCCACCCACUGCUUCUGCUUCUCACUCCAUCUCUCCCACCCUCUUUUUCUUUCCUUUGAAGUUUGUGUUUAAUUAUUUUACUUUGAUUAUGUAAGUCAAAGUAGAGGGAGAGAAUAAUGUGUAUCCUUACCAACUCAUUCUUUGAUAUUAUUACAGGACCAUGAAGAACUGGGUUUUCGUAAUUUUGAUACCAUCCACGACUCCCAAUAACUUUGUGCAUGCUUUUACAAUCAAUGUCAAUUAAAGCAUCGACAUGAAUUGAAAUAUAGUUUAUUAAUUACAUAUAUAUGUUUUCUUGAAAUUAUUUGAGGAGAGAGCUUAGCAUGCAACAACAGAAUCAUCCUUUGGAGAAUGAUCAAAUGACGUUAGUCAAACAAAAUAAAUAAUCUCUUAUUUUCUUAAUUAAAAAGAAACUGCGAAACUUAUUUAAAACUAAUUUAAAGAGUAUAAAUUAAAAUUAAAAUGAAAGGAAAGGAAUAAAUAUAUAUACACACAUAAAGGUACAGAAUCCCAGUUUUCCUUCUAGAAGGGUAGUAACGAAGUUUUCAAUUAUUAACUACUAUGAGGAUUGAGUAGACAAUAGACAUGAAAAUUCAUGAAAGUUACUCUUUCUUUUAGAGAAGUAGAAGAAGUGAAAAAAGAUAUAUAGUAAAAAGUAUAAAAUUAUUGUUGACUUUUGAUAUAUAAAUAUAAAAAUAAUGGCUGAAGAAAAUUGAUAUAAUGUGUAUUGACAUUAAAUGAAUGAAGUGAGAAACCGUGAGUGGCGUAACUGAUGGGGAAGAGGAUGGGUGUGUGUUGCAUCUACCUCUUUAAUUAGGGUUUUAUUUUUUGGAUUGGACCAUAUCUCUCGUGACGAUAAUAAUUUAAUUCAUAAGUUCUUCUUCAUAACUAUACCAACUCAUUAUUUUUUCAAUAAGUUGGUUGUAUGCAGUUAUAUAUAGUUUGACCAUAAAUAUUAUUAUGGUGAUCUCAAACUUUGUAGGGAAUAAAUAUUUUGAAAUCAAACUGGGAGGUUAGGAGGGAGGAAAGAAGCUUCGGCCAUCAUUUUCACUACUCACUACUCACUACUGCUAUCAUCAUAUCAUCAUAUCAUCAUAUAUAAUGUAUGUAUUAUUCAAAAAAGAAAAGUGGAAUUGUCAACAAUGAUGUCAUUGAUAAAAUAUUUACCAUUUAUCAUCAACUUGUGUGUGAUGGAUUUUUGUGAUUCUGUAAUGAGCUCUUGCUUGGUUUUUUAUGUAUUCUUCUUAGAAAACUUUAGAAGAAAAGCAAUGUGAUUUUAUCUAGCAGAAGAAAAGGAAUUGAUGGUUGAAUUUUUAUAAGGAAAAAACAAAUGAAAGGUAUCUUCUUGAUCGAUGUUUGAUGUGUGUUGGAUUCUAGUUUUUGAAAAAUUGCAUUGGGUGGAAAAUUUAUAUUAGUGUGUUAAAAAUAUGAUAAAUUAUUGAGAUAUUAGCUUUGUAAGCUACAACAACUCUAUAUGACGACAAACCAAUGACAAUGAGAACAACAACGUACUAACCACAAAGAGAUUGAACGUGACAACGAUAGUUGUAGACGAAGACCGCUACGUUUGAAGGUUGAUCAAUGAUUAGAUAUCUAUGAGAACAAAUAGAUGGUAUCUCAAUCUGUGGAGCUUCCUGCCCUUCACUAUACUAGCAUUUGCCUAGCCACGUUACUCAUUCGAUUGUCAGUUGCUGUUGUUGGUAAGUUCUCUUGUGAUUUUCCUUCUCCUCUAAUGUGCGAUAGCCCCUUGGGGAAAGGCUAUCCAACUUAUUGUGAUAGAUAAAGAAGUUGUUCUAAUUAAAUGAAAAUCCAUUUAAGUACAAACUUGGAACAAAUCAUGUUGGAUUUUUUGUCAAUAAGAAUUAUUAAGAAUUCUUUUUAUUAUAUACUGAUCGGGGUUACUUUACAAAAUUGGAUAAAGUAAUAUUCAUAUAAAAAGAUAAAAAGAUUGUGUCCUCGUUGACAAGAAUCUUUUAAUCUUUUAUCUAUAUCUUUCAAAUAAAAAAAAUCCGAAAGAUUUGAUAAAGUCUUUAGAUAUUGGAAGCUCCACUCUUGGUUCAGAGGCACUUUACUGAACAUUCAAUUCGAAAGCAUUCUUUCAAGAGAAAGGUUUCAAAGGUAUAUCAAUUAUCUUCUUUGUGAUGACAAAUUACUAAAGAUCUACAAGUAAUCUUACUGUGUACCAACUGAUAAGAAAUAUGAAAGAAAAUUGAACCUAGUUGAACUGCAGUUAAUGAAUUUAAAUGGAGUAUGAGUUUAUCUUCAAGUAUAUUCAAAUACAAACUCACAGGAGCCUGUCAUUGAUUGUUGUUGUUGUUGCUUGUUCUCCAGACAUAGGUGGUAUUUAUCGAGUUGGGUUAACAAAGUCUUUUGUCUUAUUAGUUUUUUCUAUUUCCUUAGUUAUUCUCACGAUUAAAUAGUUUAAGUAUAGCUAAAUGAUAUAAAUAGAUUUGUAGGGAUGAAUGAAUGAAAAUGAUUUAUAUAUUUUAAAUAUAUGAAAAGGAAAAAUAUAUAUAAAAGAAUAAUUGUGGGCUGAAAAAACAGCGGAGCAAGUGGAAGCCAAAUUAUAUAUAUAAAACAAUUGAAUACAAAAAAACGUGUUGUAUAUUAUUUAUUAUUAUAUAAUGGUAGGCUGCGGAUUAUAUCAUUCUUUUUAAAUAAUCAUAAUCAUAUAUGUAUGUAUAUAUAUAUAUAUAUAAAGGUCAAUUGAAUGGUGAAUUGUAAUAUAGGAAGCUAUAUUGACUUGACUUUCCCAGUUGUGAAUUGGGAGGCAACUCUUUUUGAACUUUCAAAUCAAAUCAAUACAUUAAUUAACCCAUCUAAUUAUCUAAUUAUGCUCUUAAUUUUUAUUUUUAAUAUAUAUAAUUGAUUGAUGCCCUUUUGGGCUUGUGAAAAAGAAUUAAGAUAAGGUGCUUUGAGAUGGAGCACAUUCU